RNAcentral lists this transfer RNA (80 nucleotides) under Bacillus phage vB_BanS_Nate. RNAcentral's name for it is "tRNA-Pro". It matches the Rfam family "tRNA". Rfam says of the family: Transfer RNA (tRNA) molecules are approximately 80 nucleotides in length. Their secondary structure includes four short double-helical elements and three loops (D, anti-codon, and T loops). The record is from RNAcentral. Lineage: Duplodnaviria; Heunggongvirae; Uroviricota; Caudoviricetes.
UGUGGGUAUGGGGCAGUCUGGUCAGCCUACUCCUUUUGGAAAGGAGAUGCCGAUGGUUCGAAUCCAUCUACCCGCACUUU